This 354-nucleotide ribosomal RNA is filed under the name Triticum aestivum (bread wheat). Its description in RNAcentral is "partial small subunit ribosomal RNA". Lineage: Eukaryota; Viridiplantae; Streptophyta; Magnoliopsida; Poales; Poaceae. The record is from RNAcentral.
UUGAUCGGAGAAAGGUGGGCACUCGACGUGCAACCACAGACAACCUUCGGAGCAUUGCUGCAAACAGUCCAUUUGAGACAUGCCAUUGCGACAGUGCCGAGAGAUGAGCUACUGGAGGACACGUUCUCUUGGCCGCAUGAUCCAUCAGGUUUAUACACGGCGAGAUCCACCUACAUGAGACUCAACCAGGGUGCGAUCGUAUCACCUACAGCGGUGGCGAUUUGGCGUAGCUGGGCGCCAUUAAAGUGCAAAAUCUUUACCUGGCUUGCGGUGCAACAUCGAUUGUGGACAUCGGACAGACGGGUACGCCAUGGCCUGCAAGAUAACCCAUUGCCAUGCUAUACUUGUUUGCAG